UUUUUGCAUGGGAUUAUAACUAUUACAGUUCAGAGGGAAAUAGUGACUCAUACAUGAAUGCAAAAUUGUAUCACGCGUAUACUCAGGCAAGCACAAGCACAAGCAGAAAUACAAAUGUGAUGAAAUGUAAUGAUGUACCCGAACAGAACCAAGCAAUGUUGCAUGCAUAAGAAACACAGAUACACAAUAUAAUGUUCAUACUCCAAGCCAUCUUGUCAGCAGCAGCAGAACUACCCAUUAGAGCCAUUCACAUGAUGACCAAAAGCUUUGUAGGAAACAUCUAGUGCUUUAUGCAACACCUUUAAUGAGUUGCACAUUUAUGCUCUUACAAGCACUUUGGACAGAUGUCCCAGGAGCACAAAACAACAGUGUCUUUAAGUUAUUGAUCGUUUUACUAACAAUUGUACUUUAUAAGACAUUCAAUCAAGAAAGUAUAUAUGCCCACACAUGCAAUUUGGAAAGAUGG
RNAcentral lists this unclassified non-coding RNA (466 nucleotides) under Hevea brasiliensis (rubber tree). Lineage: Eukaryota; Viridiplantae; Streptophyta; Magnoliopsida; Malpighiales; Euphorbiaceae. The record is from RNAcentral.